Molecule: non-coding RNA, 86 nt
Organism: Xylariaceae sp. FL0016
Lineage: Eukaryota; Fungi; Ascomycota; Sordariomycetes; Xylariales; Xylariaceae
Source: the annotation of a GenBank genome assembly
CUCCCAAUAGCUCAGUUGGAAGAGCGUUCGGCUGUAAUUGUUACCUUGAUACCGAAAGGUCACCUGUUCGAACCAGGUUUGGGAGA